This 153-nucleotide unclassified non-coding RNA is filed under the name soil metagenome. RNAcentral describes it as "partial internal transcribed spacer 1". The record is from RNAcentral.
GUGAUUAAAUCGAGCGUGUCUUCAUUGACCGCUCACCCUUCUCACCAUCCACAUACACCUGUGCACUGUUUAGUCUGAGCCGGUUUUCCGGUCCAGGUUAUCAUUUCAUACAAACUCUAGUCUUAUGAAUGUAAACGUUUUAAUAACAUAAUA